This 497-nucleotide ribosomal RNA is filed under the name uncultured bacterium. RNAcentral describes it as "partial 16S ribosomal RNA". It matches the Rfam family "Bacterial small subunit ribosomal RNA", at positions 28 to 507 of the family's 1533-position model. The record is from RNAcentral.
GAUGAACGCUGGCGGCGUGCCUAAUACAUGCAAGUCGAGCGAACAGACGAGGAGCUUGCUCCUCUGACGUUAGCGGCGGACGGGUGAGUAACACGUGGAUAACCUACCUAUAAGACUGGGAUAACUUCGGGAAACCGGAGCUAAUACCGGAUAAUAUAUUGAACCGCAUGGUUCAAUAGUGAAAGACGGUUUUGCUGUCACUUAUAUAUGGAUCCGCGCCGCAUUAGCUAGUUGGUAAGGUAACGGCUUACCAAGGCAACGAUGCGUAGCCGACCUGAGAGGGUGAUCGGCCACACUGGAACUGAGACACGGUCCAGACUCCUACGGGAGGCAGCAGUAGGGAAUCUUCCGCAAUGGGCGAAAGCCUGACGGAGCAACGCCGCGUGAGUGAUGAAGGUCUUGGGAUCGUAAAACUCUGUUAUUAGGGAAGAACAAAUGUGUAAGUAACUAUGCACGUCUUGACGGUACCUAAUCAGAAAGCCACGGCUAACUACGUG